Molecule: ribosomal RNA, 217 nt
Filed under: Culex sp.
Lineage: Eukaryota; Metazoa; Arthropoda; Insecta; Diptera; Culicidae
Description: partial 16S ribosomal RNA
Source: RNAcentral
GAUCUUUAUUUUUAAUAUUUAUAAAUUAAAAAGAAUUUUAUUAUUUAUAUUUUAUUUAAAAAUUUUAUUGGGGUGAUAUUAAAAUUUAAACAACUUUUAAAUUUGAUUAACAUUAAUAUAUGAAUUUAUGAUCCAAUUUUAUUGAUUAAAAAUUUAAGUUACCUUAGGGAUAACAGCGUAAUUUUUUUUUAGAGUUCAUAUCGAUAAAAAAGAUUGC